CCACGGCGUUGACCGAGAACAGGCCGCAUCAUUGGUGCAACUUAUUUCGUACUGAACUUUGAUGCUUGUGAAGAUGAUUACGAUCAUAGAACCAAUUCUGAUGGCUGAGGGCUCACCCGCCUCAUCUUCCAGUCACACAACUUCCGCCGGCUGCAGGAGAUUGUGACGGCUUGCCCCACCGGAACGUCACGUUUGACACCGAAGCGGUUUCUGGAGACUUCCACCGUUGGACGAUUGCCGAUUGCGAGCUGGCAAGAGAUUAGACCUGGAAGUUGAAACUGUCCCGCCCGUGAACACCCUCUAUGGAAUUGUCGCUCGGCGUCAUGUAUUGGACAUGAAGUGCCUUUCGGGCAUGGCCUGGAAGAAGGUGCCCAAAAUUGCGACCCUGAAUAAGAUUUUGUGAUUGAUAUUGGGAGUCGUGACAAAUGAUCUAAAUAAAAAUAAAAAAUGC
Long non-coding RNA from Culex quinquefasciatus (southern house mosquito), 451 nucleotides. RefSeq lists it as uncharacterized. Lineage: Eukaryota; Metazoa; Arthropoda; Insecta; Diptera; Culicidae. The record is from RefSeq and is a predicted model, not a curated record. The transcript is spliced from 2 exons.